RNAcentral lists this ribosomal RNA (505 nucleotides) under uncultured Glomus. RNAcentral describes it as "SSU rRNA". It matches the Rfam family "Eukaryotic small subunit ribosomal RNA", at positions 569 to 1076 of the family's 1831-position model. The record is from RNAcentral. Lineage: Eukaryota; Fungi; Glomeromycota; Glomeromycetes; Glomerales; Glomeraceae.
AGCAGCCGCGGUAAUUCCAGCUCCAAUAGCGUAUAUUAAAGUUGUUGCAGUUAAAAAGCUCGUAGUUGAAUUUCGGGGUUAGCAGGUCGGUCGUGCCAUCGGUAUGAACUGGUCUCGCUGAUCCCUCCCUCUUGACGAACUGUGAUGCCAUUAAUUUGGUGUCGCAGGGAAUCAGGACUGUUACUUUGAAAAAAUUAGAGUGUUUAAAGCAGGCUCACGCUUGAAUACAUUAGCAUGGAAUAAUGAAAUAGGACGUUUGAUCCUAUUUUGUUGGCUUCUAGGAUUGACGUAAUGAUUAAUAGGGAUAGUUGGGGGCAUUAGUAUUCAAUUGUCAGAGGUGAAAUUCUUGGAUUUAUUGAAGACUAACUACUGCGAAAGCAUUUGCCAAGGAUGUUUUCAUUAAUCAAGAACGAAAGUUAGGGGAUCGAAGACGAUCAGAUACCGUCGUAGUCUUAACCAUAAACUAUGCCGACUAGGGAUCGGAUGAUGUUAAUUUUUAAUGACU